Molecule: ribosomal RNA, 485 nt
Filed under: uncultured bacterium
Lineage: Bacteria
Description: bacterial SSU rRNA
Rfam family: Bacterial small subunit ribosomal RNA
Source: RNAcentral
CCUAACACAUGCAAGUCGGGCGGAACACUUGGAGCUUGCUCCAAGCGUUUAGCGGCGGACGGGUGAGUAACACGUGGGCAACCUGCCCUGCAGAUUGGGAUAACUCCGGGAAACCGGUGCUAAUACCGAAUAGUUUGAGGCCUUUCCUGAGGCUUCACGGAAAGACGGUUUCGGCUGUCACUGCAGGAUGGGCCCGCGGCGCAUUAGCUAGUUGGUGGGGUAACGGCCCACCAAGGCCACGAUGCGUAGCCGACCUGAGAGGGUGACCGGCCACACUGGGACUGAGACACGGCCCAGACUCCUACGGGAGGCAGCAGUAGGGAAUCUUCCGCAAUGGACGCAAGUCUGACGGAGCAACGCCGCGUGAGUGACGAAGGUUUUCGGAUCGUAAAACUCUGUUGUGAGGGAAGAACACGUACCAACUAACUAUUGGUACCUUGACGGUACCUCACCAGAAAGCCACGGCUAACUACGUGCCAGCAGCC